Molecule: ribosomal RNA, 1250 nt
Filed under: Bacillus subtilis
Lineage: Bacteria; Bacillati; Bacillota; Bacilli; Caryophanales; Bacillaceae
Description: bacterial SSU rRNA
Rfam family: Bacterial small subunit ribosomal RNA
Source: RNAcentral
CGCCUUGCGGGGUGCUAAUACAUGCAGUCGAGCGGACAGAUGGGAGCUUGCUCCCUGAUGUUAGCGGCGGACGGGUGAGUAACACGUGGGUAACCUGCCUGUAAGACUGGGAUAACUCCGGGAAACCGGGGCUAAUACCGGAUGGUUGUUUGAACCGCAUGGUUCAAACAUAAAAGGUGGCUUCGGCUACCACUUACAGAUGGACCCGCGGCGCAUUAGCUAGUUGGUGAGGUAACGGCUCACCAAGGCAACGAUGCGUAGCCGACCUGAGAGGGUGAUCGGCCACACUGGGACUGAGACACGGCCCAGACUCCUACGGGAGGCAGCAGUAGGGAAUCUUCCGCAAUGGACGAAAGUCUGACGGAGCAACGCCGCGUGAGUGAUGAAGGUUUUCGGAUCGUAAAGCUCUGUUGUUAGGGAAGAACAAGUACCGUUCGAAUAGGGCGGUACCUUGACGGUACCUAACCAGAAAGCCACGGCUAACUACGUGCCAGCAGCCGCGGUAAUACGUAGGUGGCAAGCGUUGUCCGGAAUUAUUGGGCGUAAAGGGCUCGCAGGCGGUUUCUUAAGUCUGAUGUGAAAGCCCCCGGCUCAACCGGGGAGGGUCAUUGGAAACUGGGGAACUUGAGUGCAGAAGAGGAGAGUGGAAUUCCACGUGUAGCGGUGAAAUGCGUAGAGAUGUGGAGGAACACCAGUGGCGAAGGCGACUCUCUGGUCUGUAACUGACGCUGAGGAGCGAAAGCGUGGGGAGCGAACAGGAUUAGAUACCCUGGUAGUCCACGCCGUAAACGAUGAGUGCUAAGUGUUAGGGGGUUUCCGCCCCUUAGUGCUGCAGCUAACGCAUUAAGCACUCCGCCUGGGGAGUACGGUCGCAAGACUGAAACUCAAAGGAAUUGACGGGGGCCCGCACAAGCGGUGGAGCAUGUGGUUUAAUUCGAAGCAACGCGAAGAACCUUACCAGGGUCUUGACAUCCUCUGACAAUCCUAGAGAUAGGACGUCCCCUUCGGGGGCAGAGUGACAGGUGGUGCAUGGUUGUCGUCAGCUCGUGUCGUGAGAUGUUGGGUUUAAGUCCCGCAACGAGCGGCAACCCUUUGAUCUUAGUUUGCAGCAUUCAGUUGGCACUCUAAGGUGACUGCCGUUGACAUCGGAGAAGGUGGGAUGACGUCAAUCAUCAUGCCCUUAUGACCUGGCUACACCUGCUUACAUUGACGACCAACGGGCAGCGAACCCGCGCGAAGGUUUUAAGUCA